AUGAACGCUGGCGGCGUGCCUCAUACAUGCAAGUCGAGCGAACAGACGAGGAGCUUGCUCCUCUGACGUUAGCGGCGGACGGGUGAGUAACACGUGGAUAACCUACCUAUAAGACUGGGAUAACUUCGGGAAACCGGAGCUAAUACCGGAUAAUAUAUUGAACCGCAUGGUUCAAUAGUGAAAGACGGUUUUGCUGUCACUUAUAGAUGGAUCCGCGCCGCAUUAGCUAGUUGGUAAGGUAACGGCUUACCAAGGCAACGAUGCGUAGCCGACCUGAGAGGGGUGGCGGCCACACGGGAACUGAAACCGGGCCCAGCCCAGUGGGGGAGGCGCAAGGAGGGACUUGCCCGGAAGGGGAAAAGGCCGGAGGGGGCAACCCGGGGGGAUUGAUGAGGGUGUCGGAAUGAAAAAACUUUUUUAUGGGGGAAAAAAAAAUUUGAAAGUAACUAUGCACGUCUGGAGGGACCCUAAUAAGAAGGCCAGGCCAAACCCGGUC
Molecule: ribosomal RNA, 496 nt
Filed under: uncultured bacterium
Lineage: Bacteria
Description: partial 16S ribosomal RNA
Rfam family: Bacterial small subunit ribosomal RNA
Source: RNAcentral